CAUGGAGGGGGACACCCCGAGUUCCCAGAGGCAUGCAGCCAGGAAGCUCUUCUCACGCCAGCGAGGAAGGAAAGCCAGUCGCAGCAGCGGUACUUUGCUGGGGAGGAAGAAACU
Chelonoidis abingdonii (Abingdon island giant tortoise) is the source of this 114-nucleotide non-coding RNA. The record is from RefSeq and is a predicted model, not a curated record. Lineage: Eukaryota; Metazoa; Chordata; Testudines; Testudinidae.